AAGCGACCUCGCGAGAGCAAGCGGACCUCAUAAAGUGCGUCGUAGUCCGGAUUGGAGUCUGCAACUCGACUCCAUGAAGUCGGAAUCGCUAGUAAUCGUGGAUCAGAAUGCCACGGUGAAUACGUUCCCGGGCCUUGUACACACCGCCCGUCACACCAUGGGAGUGGGUUGCAAAAGAAGUAGGUAGCUUAACCUUCGGGAGGGCGCUUACCACUUUGUGAUUCAUGACUGGGGUGAAGUCGUAACAAGGUAACCGUAGGGGAACCUGC
This 269-nucleotide ribosomal RNA is filed under the name Salmonella enterica subsp. enterica serovar Oranienburg. Its description in RNAcentral is "partial 16S ribosomal RNA". It matches the Rfam family "Bacterial small subunit ribosomal RNA", at positions 1247 to 1515 of the family's 1533-position model. The record is from RNAcentral. Lineage: Bacteria; Pseudomonadati; Pseudomonadota; Gammaproteobacteria; Enterobacterales; Enterobacteriaceae. RNAcentral also lists the same sequence under 6 other names.